Molecule: non-coding RNA, 45 nt
Filed under: Schistosoma curassoni
Lineage: Eukaryota; Metazoa; Platyhelminthes; Trematoda; Strigeidida; Schistosomatidae
Source: RNAcentral
AUCCAGCUGACAUGUCCCGAAUAGGACGAAACGCAUGUCCUGGAU